This is a long non-coding RNA of Eriocheir sinensis (Chinese mitten crab), 1441 nucleotides long. RefSeq lists it as uncharacterized. The record is from RefSeq and is a predicted model, not a curated record. The transcript is spliced from 5 exons. NCBI's taxonomy places the organism in Eukaryota, Metazoa, Arthropoda, Malacostraca, Decapoda, Varunidae.
GUGUGUGUGUCAGGAUUAAGGGUUCUUCUGGUGUGUGGGGCAUGGCCAUUGUGUGUGCAGGUGUGUGUGUGUGUGUGUGUGUGUGUGUGUGUGUGUGUGUGUGUCAGGAUUAAGGGUUCUGCUGGUGUGUGGGUCAUGCCUGGGCCAUGGUUAGUGUCUGGGUCAGGAUUAAGGGUUCUGCUGGUGUGUGGGUCAUGCCUGGGCCAUGGUUAGUGUGUGGGUCAGGAUUAAGGGUUCUGCUGGUGUAUGCACUGGGGUGAAAAGGUGUCCAAAUUGGGUGACAGGGGGCAUCAAGAUCUGUGGGUUGGUUUCCCUUGGGCUACAGGCAGGAGUGGGGGUGGUAGUAUUGAAGAGAGGGUAGCCAGCUCUUGCAGAGUUCAUAAUACUUACAAUGUGGCUUCUUUGGGGGUCCCAGAAUGCAGUGCAGUGGCAAAUGACUCUCGGAGAAUAGAAUGGAGGUCGAGGGGGGUUCAAAGGGUAGGGUUAGUUUAACUUUAUUGGACACUUGGCGUCGGCCUCGUAGGGUGGAACUGUUGUAGUCCUGAUGUAACUGUAGACUGGCAGAAAGAGGCAGGCAGAGACAGAUAGACAACAGAGGCAUUGCGGCGGGCUUUUCAGUGGCACACCAUGGGGGGGGUUAUCAUUGUUACUUUUAGUAGUAGUAGUAGGUCAGGACAUUUUUGGACAAGUUGGGGGAGGAGGAAGGAAAUGGCUUCUUCACUUCCCCUAACCAAACCUUGAGCAAACACUGCAGACCUCUAAACACCUGCUGUAUUAGGAGCUCAGUGUUCUCUGUGCCUCCUCCUCCUCCUCCUCCUCCCCAAAUUAUAAGUAUGGUUUUCGUAGUCAUUAUGAUCAUUAGUGUUAUUAUUAACAGAUUGCUGCCGCUGCUGCAGUGAAGAAGCUCCGCCACGGCUCAGGUCCAGCUGUUACCGGGCCCCCUACCCCCAGGAUGGAGGAGGAAGCAGCCACCUUGUUGGGGGAGAAGCUUGCCACCAGCUGGGACAAGAAGCAGACCUCCAGAAUGGCUUGGACCAUCAGUCACCUCUCCUUGAAGAUGACAACCCCGAGCUGCACGCCAUCAUUCAGAAAGAACAGGUGAGGGCAGCAGUGGCGGGCAAGGUCAAGGGCUUCUGCCAAAACGUUGACCCCAGUGUGCAGGAAACAGCGUCUUGCCCUGCACUAAGGUUUCCCCGUGACCCGCGUGCCUAUUUCAUUGACCAGUGGGGCGAGCAGAGCUUCUGAGAGCCCCCGCCCCAGCCCCGAGACCCGCGGGUCGUGACCCACUGGACUCAAGGUGUGUGUUGAUGCUGGGACCAAGAAGAAGAAGAGGAGGAGGAGAAGGAAGAUGAUGAUAAUGGCAACAGGAAGAUCAGAAGAAGAGGAGGAGGAAGACCAGAAGAAGAACAAGAGGAGGAGGAAGAAUGGGAGUACACACACA